UUUAGACUUGUUGAUUCGCAGAAGUUUUUCUACUACUGACUCCACAGUAACUUGAAUACAUUCAUCAGUAUCAUAAGGGAAACGCAGGUCCACGGUAGCAGCCUGAAAAGAAAUGUAUCUCCAGAGAGACAAACGCCCCUGUGAUCUCUUUGUUUACGGUUCCUUCUAACUGGUGAGUCCCACAGAGUUUUAAACGGAAAAAUACGCCGCUUCAACACCUGUAUUUAUCAAAGAAUUGUUGGUUGACGAUGAGCAGGGCGUUAGGGUUGUUCCGA
Molecule: long non-coding RNA, 275 nt
Organism: Dendronephthya gigantea
Lineage: Eukaryota; Metazoa; Cnidaria; Anthozoa; Malacalcyonacea; Nephtheidae
Exons: 4
Source: RefSeq, a predicted model, not a curated record